This 255-nucleotide ribosomal RNA is filed under the name uncultured bacterium. RNAcentral's name for it is "partial 16S ribosomal RNA". It matches the Rfam family "Bacterial small subunit ribosomal RNA", at positions 524 to 776 of the family's 1533-position model. The record is from RNAcentral.
UACGUAGGGUGCGAGCGUUAAUCGGAAUUACUGGGCGUAAAGCGUGCGCAGGCGGUCUGUUAAGACCGAUGUGAAAUCCCCGGGCUUAACCUGGGAACUGCAUUGGUGACUGGCAGGCUUUGAGUGUGGCAGAGGGAGGUAGAAUUCCACGUGUAGCAGUGAAAUGCGUAGAUAUCUGGAGGAACACCGGUGGCGAAGGCGGCAUCCUGGACCGGCAUUGACGCUGAGUGAGCGAAAGCCAGGGGAGCAAACGGG